GGUGUGGGUGUUGACUGAUGUUUCGACAUCCUUACAGGUAGUCAUCUUCACAUCAACACCAAAAUCAACACCAACCGUCCUUAUCAGUGCUGCUCUAACGUGGACGAUCCAUAUCAACAAAUAUCUUACAAUGCUCAUUUUCGUUUUGUUAGUUUGUCGUGCCUGGAGUCUUGAGUAUUUUGGCGGGAGUUAAGAAAAAUAGCCUUGUGAUGGCGUUUGCCCUUUUCUUCAACAUCAUCGCCGUUAUUGUUUCCAGUGUAGCAAGUGUUAUUCUGAUAAUAAUAGUAGUCCUUAUGAACGAAGUGAGGUCAUCCGGACAUUAUAGUUGCAGCGACCAGGGUGAUCAGUGUUAUUGUACAUCAACAUCUAUCUACUCUGAUUAUAAUUCAGUAAGAUGAUCCUGUCGUGGUCAUGACCACUGGUGUACCCGUUCAUAACGCAGGCGCCGUAGUCGUGACGUCCAACCAAUCUUCAAUCCAACAAGGUUAUGCCCAUGGCAAUGUCGCGCAGCCAAUGCCGUCCCAGGCCCCAGUGUAUGGUUAUGGCGAUCAAACUCCUCCAUUCUAUACUACGUAUGAGAACAAGGUGCUCUUGGCGAAUUAAGAAAUUCAUUCAGUUAAUCAGUACUUUGCUACUCCUUUUCAUGCUUGAUGUUUACGUUUAAUUAGUGAUUAAUAAUCAUUUUGAAGUUCAAAAUAGUCAAUUUACCCCAGAUGGCUAUGUCUGAACUAUUUGUUAGUUAAAAUAGUCUACUACAAGAGAGCUGACAGGUGAUUUGUGAAUAGUCUAUCAAUUUAACUACAAAACACGUCGUUCAAACUUAAAUACGUUUACGUAAAAUACGUAGAAAUAGUGUCAUAAUGUAGCACGAAAAAGCUUGUUUUAAUUUCGCAAUAACACUUCUUGUAAGUUCUCUUUGAACUGGAAUAACUUGCUCUUUCUGUUUGUUUUUCUUUUCUUAUUUUACUUUCCGGAGUGUAGGAAGCUGUUUUCAAGGAAGUUGGAAAGUAUCACUUACAAUCACUGAUAUGAAUAUUUCACUGGAUAACGCAUCAUGUAUAAAAUAUACUAAGAUAAUUGAAGUAUACUUUUGUAUUA
RNA transcript from Xenia sp. Carnegie-2017, 1098 nucleotides. RefSeq lists it as uncharacterized. NCBI's taxonomy places the organism in Eukaryota, Metazoa, Cnidaria, Anthozoa, Malacalcyonacea, Xeniidae. The record is from RefSeq and is a predicted model, not a curated record. The transcript is spliced from 3 exons.